Culex pipiens pallens (northern house mosquito) is the source of this 2735-nucleotide long non-coding RNA. RefSeq lists it as uncharacterized. The transcript has 4 exons. NCBI's taxonomy places the organism in Eukaryota, Metazoa, Arthropoda, Insecta, Diptera, Culicidae. The record is from RefSeq and is a predicted model, not a curated record.
AAUCGUGUCCGGACGAGGAUCUCGUCAAGGCACACAGGAGGAUGUACCGACAAAAUUUUCAACGAUUCGGCGAUUCAACCACCUCUUCGACGUUCGCAGCAUCUACACCCGGAUCCGGAGGACACCUCCCAAUGUAACCCAUAUUCCACUAAAUUUUGCCGUUGAAAACCAGACGUCAUCUUCACCAGGAUACUCCGGAACUGAGUGGACCUCCCGCCGGCAUGGCACCGAUGCAUUCUAGGAUGCAUUACAAAUCACCACUCGCCUCCACUGAAUCAUUAGCCGCCACACGGUCACCAACACGGACCGCCCGUCGUGACCGUUCCCGAGUCCGAGUUCGACAAUAACUGACGUUGUGAUGGCGACGGAACCGACCGCCACCGUAGGGAUGAUUCCUGCCAAACAGUCGUGCUAGCUCAAACUCAUCGAGUACGGCGCUGACUAGUGAAGUCCGAACAAUCCGUCCGGCAAGCGAAAGUACUUACGCGAUCAGCUGAUACAGCUCAAAAUGCGGCAACGGCUCACGAAAAACCGGGUGGAUCUUCGUAAUUGGUCUAAACCUCGGAGGAGGUGUCCACGGGAUGGGCUAGCAUCUCUGAGAUGCUGUUGCCGACGUUCAUCAAGGAUUGCAUGAGCGGAGGAGGAGGAGGAGGCGGUGUGAACAUGGGCCAAAUGAGACAACAACACAUGCCGAAAUUACCGUCCGGAUCGCAGCCAAACAAACAAUCUCAGCAGGGCAUGAAUCCGCUGGAGAUACUAAGCGUGAACGAGAACAAACGGACCGGUACCAGAUGUUGUCCCUCAGCAACUGCACUCGGCAGUUUUUUCGUUGUAGUUAAUUUAGCAUAACAUACUUAGAGGACUGCCCGUCGUUUCUGAGACCGAAACGAGAAAUCGACGCCACUGCCAGCACCAUCAACCGAGACAACACCAAGCGCCAAGCCAGCAACGGCCUCCACUGUAACAAUUAUCCCGACGCGGACCGGAGGAGUCCAAGCGAAAAUACUCGCGUGAUCAGCUCAAGAAUGCGGCAACGGCUCACAAUAAGUUCGCGAAUCUGCACAACAGUUUGGAAAAGAUGCAGCAGCCGAAAAUUAUCAAAGCAUCUCAUGGGAGAUGGUAGCGAAGGAAGAGAAGGCAACAUGGGUGAAAUGAGACAACCAACCAUGCCGUAACGACCGUCCCAGCGGGUCAUCAGCGGCCAGUUCGGUUUGCAGUUAAACAGACAAUCCUAGCAGGACAUGAAUCUGGUGUCGGAGUUUACCAUGGAGAUUCUGGGAUGUAUGGAAAAACUUGUUGAUGGCAUAAAACAAAAUAUAAAGCUCGUAUAUAUUGUCGGCGCGGGAGUUAUUGGAGUUGAAAUUCUUGCUUUGAUAUUUGCUCUAUUACUCUGUUGUGCGAUACGAAGAAGCAGCAACUAUAAAAACUAAAAAAACAUGCAAAUUUUUAAGACAAUGUAACUAGAAAUACUCUUCAGAGAUAUAUACAUUCAGCUGCAGGCUUCCGGCAAAUUAUUCAUUUUUUCGCUAAAUAAGAGCAAGAUUUAUCGAGAACAAAGAACAGCUAUGUCGUUUUCUGCAAUUCAUACUGAAUUUCUUUGACUAACUGGAUGUGCUUACAAAUUAUGUAGAUAAACAUAUUGCACAAAUUUUAUCAGAUUUACCAAUAUUUUUAUGAUUGUUCAAAAGCUAGUUUUAAAAACACACCUUCAAAGCCAAAAACAAGAUUGUGCCAAUAUAAAAACUGUAUUUAACAUAAAGAUCUUUUCCAUUUUAAGCUACAUAAAAUCACAACAAGUUUGUUAAAAGAAAAAAAAUUAUGUAACGUCAUGAUUCGAAUUUCCGGACGCUUCGAAACCCGGGAACCUCAUCUUGUUUUAUCAAUUAUUUGGAUAUAAGUUCACGUUAUGAAUGUCAAAACUGUGUUAAAUGAUGAAUUCUAACAUCAACUUUCAUUUAAAGUUCGUUUGAACGCUGUAGUUAAUGCCAAAACAAUUAUAUAAAAUAAAAUUAUAAGUUUACCAAAAAUGUGAAACAUUUCACUGAAAUAUUUCAUAGGCGUCCGAUGCACCGGAAAGGAAAAGCAGAAAUUUAUGGGUUUGAUUUCCUUAAAUUCUAGCAAAUUUUAUAUGAAAUCUCGAUUGUUUUGAUGUUAACCGCUUAUUAACCAACAUUUCAGUCCAAAUUUGUGCUGUUCAUAAGCAAAAUUGAGUGUCCGGAUUUCGAAUCAGCUUUUAUCAGUGUCCGGGAUUUGAAGCACAACAAGUAAUUUUAAUUUUAAAAUUCUGAUGAAAAUUUGUUAGAAUAGACAUAUUUUGCAUGUAUUCUCUUAAAACUGACUGUUCAUACUACAUCCUGAUGAUAUUUCUACAUUUCUAACUUGUUACAUGGUUUUUUGCCAGCUAUAACAAAAAUGAUAUGCUACUAAGUGUCCGGAUUUCGAAUCAUGACGUUAUGUGUAUAACGUAGAACAUAACAUUACAUUUCUAAUACUUUUUGAAUCUCAUUUAAUUAUUGAAAAGUUAAAAAAUGUAUGGAAACCAAAACCCACAGAAAACACAAGACGAUAUAAAAUGAUCAAAAAGUUUAGCACAAAACAUAUUUAGGAGCAUUCGUAGACCAUCAUUAAAUAUUAACGUCAAAUAAGAGAAUUGAAUGUAAGGUCGAAAUGGAGCUUAUCCAAAUAAAUUAAAAAUACUUAAAUAAGUGCUCGUAAUAAAAAAUAAAACAUUUGAA